RNAcentral lists this ribosomal RNA (267 nucleotides) under Triticum aestivum (bread wheat). RNAcentral describes it as "partial small subunit ribosomal RNA". The record is from RNAcentral. Lineage: Eukaryota; Viridiplantae; Streptophyta; Magnoliopsida; Poales; Poaceae.
AUGGGGUUUAACCUGCUGGUGGCGUUCGCGGCGGCGAGGGGCUUCGUGCAGGUGUUCCACCUGUCGGCGCCGUCGCAGUCGCCGCUCAACCUCUGGCUGCCGCUCGCCCGCCACCUGCCCGAGGCCUGCGCUGCCCUCUGCGGCGUGCUCGCCGCCCAAGUCGCGUGGCUGCGCCGCGCCUAUGCGCGCGGUGGCACCGUCUGGAGCCGCCGCAGCCGCGACGACGUCGACGUCCUCCGCCAGGCGCUGCUCGACGUCUCCUACUGA